Molecule: ribosomal RNA, 478 nt
Filed under: uncultured bacterium
Lineage: Bacteria
Description: partial 16S ribosomal RNA
Rfam family: Bacterial small subunit ribosomal RNA
Source: RNAcentral
GACGAACGCUGGCGGCGUGCUUAACACAUGCAAGUCGAACGGUAAGGCCCUUCGGGGUACACGAGUGGCGAACGGGUGAGUGACACGUGGGUGAUCUGCCCUGCACUUCGGGAUAAGCCUGGGAAACUGGGUCUAAUACCGGAUAGGACUCCGGACUGCAUGGUCUGGGGUGGAAAGCUUUUGCGGUGUGGGGUGGGCCCGCGGCCUAUCAGCUUGUUGGUGGGGUAAUGGCCUACCAAGGCGACGACGGGUAGCCGGCCUGAGAGGGUGACCGGCCACACUGGGACUGAGAUACGGCCCAGACUCCUACGGGAGGCAGCAGUGGGGAAUAUUGCACAAUGGGCGCAAGCCUGAUGCAGCGACGCCGCGUGAGGGAUGACGGCCUUCGGGUUGUAAACCUCUUUCAGUAGGGACGAAGCGCAAGUGACGGUACCUACAGAAGAAGGACCGGCCAACUACGUGCCAGCCGCCGCCGUAA